Molecule: ribosomal RNA, 324 nt
Filed under: Bacillus sp. RNC-15-20-14
Lineage: Bacteria; Bacillati; Bacillota; Bacilli; Caryophanales; Bacillaceae
Description: bacterial SSU rRNA
Rfam family: Bacterial small subunit ribosomal RNA
Source: RNAcentral
ANGCGCGNCCUAUCAUGCNAGUCGAGCGAAUGAUGAGGAGCUUGCUCCUCUGAUUUAGCGGCGGACGGGUGAGUAACACGUGGGUAAUCUGCCUGUAAGACGGGGAUAACUCCGGGAAACCGGGGCUAAUACCGGAUAACAAGAGAAGAUGCAUAUCUUCUUUUUGAAAGUCGGUUUCGGCUGACACUUACAGAUGAGCCCGCGGCGCAUUAGCUAGUUGGUGAGGUAACGGCUCACCAAGGCGACGAUGCGUAGCCGACCUGAGAGGGUGAUCGGCCACACUGGGACUGAGACACGGCCCAGACUCCUACGGGAGGCAGCAGA